Marmota flaviventris (yellow-bellied marmot) is the source of this 268-nucleotide non-coding RNA. NCBI's taxonomy places the organism in Eukaryota, Metazoa, Chordata, Mammalia, Rodentia, Sciuridae. The record is from RefSeq and is a predicted model, not a curated record.
GACGAGUGCAGCUCCGGAGAGCAUAAGUGCCACCACUCCACCACCUGCACCAAUACCUGUGGGUGGUACUGGUGCUACUGCCUCCCAGGCUGGGAGCCGAUUCCUGGGAGCAUCAAUGGCAUGUACAACAACAUCUGCAAAGUCAAGCCCUUCUUCACCUGGCCUCUGCCCCCUGGAGUCCACAGCCAGAGUCUCUCCCGCUUCAUUGACAAAGUCAACAAUCUGCAAAAGCAUUUAAAGUCAGCCAUGGCCAAGGACACCAUUCAGG